This 520-nucleotide unclassified non-coding RNA is filed under the name uncultured Glomus. RNAcentral's name for it is "SSU rRNA". It matches the Rfam family "Eukaryotic small subunit ribosomal RNA", at positions 569 to 1091 of the family's 1831-position model. The record is from RNAcentral. Lineage: Eukaryota; Fungi; Glomeromycota; Glomeromycetes; Glomerales; Glomeraceae.
AGCAGCCGCGGUAAUUCCAGCUCCAAUAGCGUAUAUUAAAGUUGUUGCAGUUAAAAAGCUCGUAGUUGAAUUUCGGGAUCAAUAUGUUGGUCGUGCCUUGGUACGUACUGGCAUUAUCGAUUCCUACCUUCUGAAGAACCUCGAUGUCAUUAAUUUGGUGUCUUGGGGAAUCAGGACUGUUACUUUGAAAAAAUUAGAGUGUUUAAAGCAGGCUCGCGCUUGAAUACAUUAGCAUGGAAUAAUGAAAUAGGACGUUUGAUUCUAUUUUGUUGGUUUCUAGGAUCGACGUAAUGAUUAAUAGGGAUAGUUGGGGGCAUUAGUAUUCAAUUGUCAGAGGUGAAAUUCUUGGAUUUAUUGAAGACUAACUACUGCGAAAGCAUUUGCCAAGGAUGUUUUCAUUAAUCAAGAACGAAAGUUAGGGGAUCGAAGACGAUCAGAUACCGUCGUAGUCUUAACCAUAAACUAUGCCGACUAGGGAUCGGAUGAUGUUAAUUUUUUAAUGACUCAUUCGGUGCCUUAC